AGGACGAACGCUGGCGGCGUGCUUAACACAUGCAAGUGGAGCGACGAACCAGGGCUUGCCCUGGGGCAGAGCCGCGAACGGGUGAGUAACACGUGGGUUACCUGCCUCGAUGACCGGGACAACCCGAGGAAACUCGGGCUAAUACCGGAUGUGCCCGCAAGGGGAAAGGAAGCUUCGGCCUCCGCAUCGAGAUGGGCCCGCGGCCCAUUAGCUUGUUGGUGAGGUAACGGCUCACCAAGGCUUCGAUGGGUAGCUGGUCUGAGAGGACGAUCAGCCACACUGGGACUGAGACACGGCCCAGACUCCUACGGGAGGCAGCAGUGGGGAAUCUUGCGCAAUGCGCGAAAGCGUGACGCAGCAACGCCGCGUGGGGGAAGAAGGCUUUCGGGUUGUAAACCCUUUCAGUUGGGACGAAGCUUCUCCGGUGAAUAGCCGGAUGGAGUGACGGUACCUUCACAAGAAGCACCGGCUAACUACGCGCCAGCAGCCGCGGU
This 494-nucleotide ribosomal RNA is filed under the name uncultured bacterium. Its description in RNAcentral is "SSU rRNA". It matches the Rfam family "Bacterial small subunit ribosomal RNA", at positions 26 to 521 of the family's 1533-position model. The record is from RNAcentral.